Homo sapiens (human) is the source of this 1388-nucleotide long non-coding RNA. Ensembl annotates it as amine oxidase copper containing 4, pseudogene. Its record names the gene AOC4P. Lineage: Eukaryota; Metazoa; Chordata; Mammalia; Primates; Hominidae. The record is from Ensembl.
CCUCGGACAACUGUGUCUUCUCAGUGGAGUUGCAGCUGCCUCCCAAGGCUGCAGCCCUGGCUCACUUGGACAGGGGGAGCCCCCCACCUGCCCGGGAGGCACUGGCCAUCGUCUUCUUUGGCAGGCAACCCCAGCCCAACGUGAGUGAGCUGGUGGUGGGGCCACUGCCUCACCCCUCCUACAUGCGGGACGUGACUGUGGAGCGUCAUGGAGGCCCCCUGCCCUAUCACCGACGCCCCAUGUUGUUCCAAGAGUACCUGGACAUAGACCAGAUGAUCUUCGACAGAGAGCUGCCCCAGGCUUCUGGGCUUCUCCAUCACUGUUGCUUCUACAAGCGCCGGGGACGGAACCUGGUGACAAUGACCACGGCUCCCCGUGGUCUGCAAUCAGGGGACCGGGCCACCUAGUUUGGCCUCUACUACAACAUCUCGGGCGCUGGGUUCUUCCUGCACCACGUGGGCUUGGAGCUGCUAGUGAACCACAAGGCCCUUGACCCUGCCCGCUGGACUAUCCAGAAGGUGUUCUAUCAAGGCCGCUACUAUGACAGCCUGGCCCAGCUGGAGGCCCAGUUUGAGGCCGGCCUGGUGAAUGUGGUGCUGAUCCCAGACAAUGGCACAGAACCAGGGCCUCCCCCUGCGGCGACACCACUCAGAUCUCUACUCCCACUACUUUGGGGGCCUUGCGGAAACGGUGCUGGUCAUCAGAUCUGUGUCUACUAUGCUCAACUAUGACUAUGUGUGGGAUAUGGUCUUCCACCCUAAUGGGGCCAUAGAAAUCAGACUCCACACCACCGGCUACAUCAGCUCAGCAUUCCCCUUUGGUGCUGCCCAGAGGUAUGGAAACAAAGUUUCAGAGCACACCCUGGGCACGGUCCACACCCACAGCGCCCACUUCAAGGUGGACCUGGAUGUAGCAGGUAAGGCAUCCUGGCAGAGGCAAAAGUGCUGGAGGGGUGAGCUGAAGUCUCCAUGCCUAGCUUUAAAAGUUUUCGUUGGGCUGGGAGCAGUAGCUUAUGCCUGUAAGCCCAACACUUUGGGAGACUGAGGGGGGUGGAUCACUUGAGGUCAGGAGUUCAAAACCAGCCUGGCCAACAUGGCGAAAUCCUGUCUGUACUAAAAAUACAAAAAUUAGCUGGGCAUGGGUAUGCUGUAAUCCUAGCUACUCGGGAGGCUGAGGCAGGAGAAUCACUUGAAUCUGGGAGUCAGAGGUUGCAGUGAGCUGAGAUUGAGCCACUGCACUCCAUCCUGCGUGACUGAACAAGACUUUGUCUCAAAAAAAAAAAGUAUUCCAUGCUUUAAAAAAUUACCUCUGUGAUUAUAGAAUUUAUUAUAUUGUAUACUAUGUAUAAAUAUGAUAUAUUGAUAUAAGUAUUUAGAUUUCUAUAUUCA